AGUGAACGCUGGCGGUAGGCCUAACACAUGCAAGUCGAACGGCAGCACAGUAAGAGCUUGCUCUUACGGGUGGCGAGUGGCGGACGGGUGAGGAAUACAUCGGAAUCUACUUUUUCGUGGGGGAUAACGUAGGGAAACUUACGCUAAUACCGCAUACGACCUACGGGUGAAAGCAGGGGAUCUUCGGACCUUGCGCGAUUGAAUGAGCCGAUGUCGGAUUAGCUAGUUGGCGGGGUAAAGGCCCACCAAGGCGACGAUCCGUAGCUGGUCUGAGAGGAUGAUCAGCCACACUGGAACUGAGACACGGCCCAGACUCCUACGGGAGGCAGCAGUGGGGAAUAUUGGACAAUGGGCGCAAGCCCGAUCCAGCCAUACCGCGUGGGUGAAGAAGGCCUUCGGGUUGUAAAGCCCUUUUGUUGGGAAAGAAAAGCAGCAGGUUAAUACCCCGCUGUUCUGACGGUACCCAAAGAAUAAGCACCGGCUAACUUCGUG
Molecule: ribosomal RNA, 492 nt
Filed under: uncultured bacterium
Lineage: Bacteria
Description: partial 16S ribosomal RNA
Rfam family: Bacterial small subunit ribosomal RNA
Source: RNAcentral